GAUGAACGCUGGCGGCGUGCCUAAUACAUGCAAGUCGAGCGAACAGAUGAGGAGCUUGCUCCUCUGACGUUAGCGGCGGACGGGUGAGUAACACGUGGAUAACCUACCUAUAAGACUGGGAUAACUUCGGGAAACCGGAGCUAAUACCGGAUAAUAUAUUGAACCGCAUGGUUCAAUAGUGAAAGACGGUUUUGCUGUCACUUAUAGAUGGAUCCGCGCCGCAUUAGCUAGUUGGUAAGGUAACGGCUUACCAAGGCAACGAUGCGUAGCCGACCUGAGAGGGGGGGGGGCCACACUGGAAGGGAGACCGGGCCAGACCCACACGGGGAGGGGCAGGGGGGACUUCUGCGGAAAGGGGGAAAAGCCUAAGGGAGAAGGGCGGGGUGAGUAAGGAGGUUUUGGGGAGCGAAAAACUUUUUUAUGGGGGAAAAAAAAAGGUGUAAGUAACAAUGCGCGUUUGGAGGGGCCCUAAUAAAAAGGCGAGGACAACUUAGGUC
This 497-nucleotide ribosomal RNA is filed under the name uncultured bacterium. Its description in RNAcentral is "partial 16S ribosomal RNA". It matches the Rfam family "Bacterial small subunit ribosomal RNA", at positions 28 to 508 of the family's 1533-position model. The record is from RNAcentral.